RNAcentral lists this ribosomal RNA (472 nucleotides) under uncultured bacterium. Its description in RNAcentral is "bacterial SSU rRNA". It matches the Rfam family "Bacterial small subunit ribosomal RNA", at positions 329 to 794 of the family's 1533-position model. The record is from RNAcentral.
GCCCAGACUCCUACGGGAGGCAGCAGUAGGGAAUUUUCGUCAAUGGGCGCAAGCCUGAACGAGCAAUGCCGCGUGAGUGAGGAAGGUCUUCGGAUCGUAAAGCUCUGUUGCAGGUCAGAAAAGAAGGAAAGAGGAAAUGCUUUUCUUUUGAUAGUAACCUGCCAGAAAGUCACGGCUAACUACGUGCCAGCAGCCGCGGUAAUACGGAGGAUGCGAGCGUUAUCCGGAUUUAUUGGGUUUAAAGGGUGCGUAGGCGGGCUUUUAAGUCAGCGGUAAAAAUUCGGGGCUCAACCCCGUCCGGCCGUUGAAACUGGGGGCCUUGAGUGGGCGAGAAGAAGGCGGAAUGCGUGGUGUAGCGGUGAAAUGCAUAGAUAUCACGCAGAACUCCGAUUGCGAAGGCAGCAUACCGGCGCUCAACUGACGCUCAUGCACGAAAGCGUGGGUAUCGAACAGGAUUAGAUACCCCAGUAGA